RNAcentral lists this long non-coding RNA (1802 nucleotides) under Volvox carteri. RNAcentral's name for it is "long non-coding RNA (VCAR_LNC000344)". Lineage: Eukaryota; Viridiplantae; Chlorophyta; Chlorophyceae; Chlamydomonadales; Volvocaceae. The record is from RNAcentral.
UGGACUCGUCUCUCACCGUCCUAAAAGCGUAUAUUGAUAUAACUAAUGAUAGAAACAAAUAUUCAUCAAACAAAUUGGAGGUUGGGGCACUCCUGGCGGAGAACCGUAAGGCCUAGUGGAAACACCCCGUACACUAAGCCCGCACUAGCGCGUCACAAAGUUAAUGGGACCUCAGACCUGUCAUUAACUUGCAAACCUAGCACUAACUAUAUGGCGGGCAACUUUUAGGAGCUGGUUUGUGCCUUCUGACCACAGACCUUUGAUCUGGGCAGCUAUCUUUUUUCCUUCCUGCAAACGCCGCGUUGACUUGCGCACGCCCAACACCGACAGCCUCAGAAGGCUGUAGCCCGUGAGGGCUGCCAGGAAAAGCCUACGAUCCAUAUUUUCCUUGCAGACCUUGACAAUUAGCAGCAAUUAAUACCUGGCGCUAAAACAUUCAAAAUACGAAAACCAUUUUGGUUUCGGCGUUCCUUAGUGCAGCUAGUGAAACACCAUCACACUAAACGAUAUCGCGUCCGUGAAUGCAUCUGCGACAAGGCACCAACAAGUGUCGACCCUCGUACACGGGUUGUCGCCUGGGUAUCUAAAACAUCUACUUGCCCAGAAACCAAAUCCAGCAUCAAAUACGUGAUGGCUAAAUCUUUCGAAGUUUGCCAACUAGUCACGCUAAGUUGUCAGCAGCCACAGAAGACAACUACCGUACUGCCACGAUAUUUUUGUGACACGCUUUUGGGGAAGGCUCGAAAAUCAUAGCCGGAAUUAUGCUAAUGAUUUGCAUUUUUGGUGACGAGUCCCGGACAUAAUUGCAGUUGUGACACCCAGUUUGGCGACGCUCCAGGGAGGCCCCGAGCAGAAACCGCAGCAUUAUUACUGUGUUCAUUCGUUCGUUGCUCUGAGAGGAAACAUACACGUAGAUGAAGCGCAAGGUAAUCAAUCUGUCAACCAAACAAAACAGGUUAGGCACCACAGAGCUGGCCCCCUUGCAAAACCCCCAAGUCCCCUCUGCCGCAAAUCCCGAAACCUCCCUUCAAGCAAAACUGUUAUGACGCCCUCAGGCCGUCAGUCUUGAAAUAACGUAUGGAACCGUUGACCCGCGGUCCCCUGCACCUACCAUAAUUUACUUAAUGAGUGAGGAUGUGUGGAAAGCGACCAAUAUACAGGCGUGAACGUCUCAGCGAUAACGGGCAGGCUUGCUAAUCUGCCGUUUGUUGGCAGCACGGGCCUCCGCCAACUGCACUACCGCCUCCUCUUCCACCUCCGACUCCUCCGACUCCCCCUCGCUGCUCUCGCCCGGUUGCGGCCUAGCCUGGGCAGUAGAGCUGUGAGUAACACUUGCUUCGGCUUCUUGGACGCCAUUGGAGCGAGCUCAUGGAAAAUCUGUCAGAAAGCCUUUUUUUGAGUGGAAAACUAUAUAUAUAACUUAUUACUGAGUUAGAUUGAGAAUUCGGACCUGUUCUGGCCGGUAUCCUGCAUGUUUAAACGCGGUGUACGGUGUAUUGGUGACACUUAUUUUGGCGACGGGCAAAAAAAUCUGCCAAUAGAGCUUUCUCCACAGACACGCAUUUGGUGACGCCAUACCAAUUGCGUGUCACAAAAAUAUCGUGGCAAUACGGUAUCUCGGUAGUGUCCACCAACGUUUAUCUACCUACUAAACAACAACAGUCAAGAUUAAAAAGUUGGACCGAAAACGUUCGCAGACUCUGGUUGACAUUAUGUGGCCUCCAAGCACUGUCAGCUAGGAUGAAUUGACAAAAUAUCGAAGUCGUGUUCGCACAUAGGUGUUGUCGUGGCGUGCGCGAAGG